Chelonia mydas (Green sea turtle) is the source of this 1393-nucleotide long non-coding RNA. RefSeq lists it as uncharacterized. NCBI's taxonomy places the organism in Eukaryota, Metazoa, Chordata, Testudines, Cheloniidae. The record is from RefSeq and is a predicted model, not a curated record. The transcript has 2 exons.
CAAAGAGUCAUGGUCGCCCUCGGAAAUUGACAGCGAGGGACAGCCAGAGGCCCUCUGGUGAGCGGACCCAGAGAGGCCACGCUCAGCAUCCAGAAGCAGAGGGGUGGGACAGGAACAGGAAGUAUAAAAGGAGGGCCCUAUAGCUCAGUUGAGCUGGACCUGUCAGGGGAGACAGAUGCAUUCUGCUGGAGCUGGCUGUACCAAGGACUGGUGAGUGCUCCCAGACCUGAGGACUGGCCACAGCAUCCAGGGUUGUUGGCCCACUAAGAAGCUGCCAACUGAAGACUGAUCAGAGCUCCUGGCUGACAGACACUGAAGAGCUACUGGGGCUGCUGCUAGCCACCUACCUGUGGGAGACUGAGGACAACUACAAUGUAAAGCAUUGCAUCAGCACUGCCUCCGACUAAGCCAAUGUGACUCCAGCAAAUGAAAACUGAUGUAGGAAAAGUGUUCUCUUGCAUCACCAGCCCCAGCCUUGAGGCUGAUGCAAACAGCAGUCCAUGCUUUCCUUCACUGCAAGAUGGAUUGAUUUGAAUCUGACAGAGGCAAGAAAUGGCAAAACAGAUUAUGUCCAGUAUGCUUCGAUCUCUUUGGAAGAAUUGACAUAGUGGAACUAUACUGACUUUCACCAGCUGGGGGAUCUGGCCUACAAAGAAGAAGCUACAGAAGCACAAGGAGCAAAGCUCAAGUCUUUGGUAGUUUCUGCAAGACUGCUCAGCAACUGUAUGGCAAGAGCGAAGGCUGAAAAAGGGACAGGAUUAGCACCAAGCUGCCUCAACUGCCUGUCUCUGGGGCUGACAUAGGAACCAUCAGACUCUGACAAUACCAGGGGGACUGAUGUUGGCCAGGCCUUUCAUCUCAUGCACUAGAUCUUUAUAGAGCUGUUUACCCAUGUCAGCAGGAUUAUUUCUAGGGGACUUCACCUCUCCUUAACUAAGGAUUGCUACAGGUCAUAUCAAAUGAGAUGACUUCUAGCAGCACCCUAGGAGUGGAUGUCAUUCUCCUCUAGCUGCAGCCUAAUAAAGGCACUGACCCAUGCUGCCACUGGAGCAGAAGCUAGUGCACUUUGGAAGUUGUAAAAUAAACUAUACACAAAGACACAGUAAUAAGGGCAUCAGUCACCCAUCCCUCCAGCCACAAGGCUCACACAAGAAGAUAUCUGCUUACAGAUGAGCAGUGCAGCCCCCUCUGCAGUUCUGAAAGGGCUCUCAUCCUGGCCAGGCAACCCCUGAGGAGCCAGGAUCGUGUGCAGAUACAGCCACAGGAGCACAUUCAACUGCCACGGUGGUGGCCUUCAGUAGGUUAUACAAUCAGUCACAGCAGCUACCCCAUGGCAGGCCACUGAUGAUCAAGUAGGAGGCAGGUGAAUGCUCUGGAAAGUGACUUUUUUUUU